Molecule: ribosomal RNA, 463 nt
Filed under: uncultured bacterium
Lineage: Bacteria
Description: partial 16S ribosomal RNA
Rfam family: Bacterial small subunit ribosomal RNA
Source: RNAcentral
GAUGAACGCUGACAGCAUGCUUAACACAUGCAAGUCUUUGGCGAAGCUGUGCUCGCACAGCCUAGCCAAGGCGGACGGGUGAGUAACGCGUAAGGAACUUGCCCUGCAGUCAGGGAUAACAGACGGAAACGACUGAUAAGACCUGGUAAAGUCAGGCGGACUCAUGUCCAGCCUGAUGAAAAGAGAUGCUGCAGGAGAGCCUUGCGUCCUAUUAGCUUGUUGGUGGGGUAACGGCCCACCAAGGCGAUGAUAGGUAGCCGGCCUGAGAGGGUGGACGGCCACAAGGGGACUGAGAUACGGCCCUUACUCCUACGGGAGGCAGCAGUGGGGAAUAUUGGACAAUGGGGGCAACCCUGAUCCAGCAAUUCUGUGUGCACGAUGAAGGUUUUCGGAUUGUAAAGUGCUUUCAGUAGGGAAGAAAAAAAUGACGGUACCUGCAGAAGAAGCGACGGCUAAAUACGUG